Molecule: small nucleolar RNA, 73 nt
Organism: Engraulis encrasicolus (European anchovy)
Lineage: Eukaryota; Metazoa; Chordata; Actinopteri; Clupeiformes; Engraulidae
Product: small nucleolar RNA SNORD2
Exons: 1
Source: RefSeq, a predicted model, not a curated record
GUGUGAAAUGAUGGCAUAUCAUCUUUCGGGACUGAGAGCCUUGAUGUCAACCUUUUUACACUGCUGAUCGCAC